Molecule: ribosomal RNA, 509 nt
Filed under: uncultured bacterium
Lineage: Bacteria
Description: partial 16S ribosomal RNA
Rfam family: Bacterial small subunit ribosomal RNA
Source: RNAcentral
GACGAACGCUGGCGGCGUGCUAACCCAUGCAAGUCGAACGAAGAGCGAUGGAAGCUUGCUUCUAUCAAUCUUAGUGGCGAACGGGUGAGUAACGCGUAAUCAACCUGCCCUUCAGAGGGGGACAACAGUUGGAAACGACUGCUAAUACCGCAUACGAUCUAAACUCGGCAUCGAGGAUAGAUGAAAGGUGGCCUCUACAUGUAAGCUAUCACUGAAGGAGGGGAUUGCGUCUGAUUAGCUAGUUGGAGGGGUAACGGCCCACCAAGGCGAUGAUCAGUAGCCGGUCUGAGAGGAUGAACGGCCACAUUGGGACUGAGACACGGCCCAGACUCCUACGGGAGGCAGCAGUGGGGAAUCUUCCGCAAUGGACGAAAGUCUGACGGAGCAACGCCGCGUGAGUGAUGACGGCCUUCGGGUUGUAAAGCUCUGUUAAUCGGGACGAAAGGCCUUCUUGCGAAUAGUGAGAAGGAUUGACGGUACCGGAAUAGAAAGCCACGGCUAACUACGUG